This 601-nucleotide ribosomal RNA is filed under the name Dynamena crisioides. RNAcentral's name for it is "partial large subunit ribosomal RNA". It matches the Rfam family "Bacterial large subunit ribosomal RNA", at positions 1807 to 2593 of the family's 2925-position model. The record is from RNAcentral. Lineage: Eukaryota; Metazoa; Cnidaria; Hydrozoa; Leptothecata; Sertulariidae.
CCAAAAACAUAGCCCUAGAAUCUAUCUAAGGUGUAACCUGCCCAAUGAUUUUUAAAUACAACAAAUAAAAAUUGUGAAAAAAAAUUAAAAGGACGCGGUAACCUUGACCGUGAUAAUGUAGCAUAAUCAUUCGCCAUUUAAUUGAUGGAUAGUAUGAAUGGUUGAACGAAUAUUUCACUGUCUCAAAAAGAAAUAACAAAAAAUUAAAAUAAUAGUAAAGAUGCUAUUUAAGAUUGUAAGACGAAAAGACCCUAUAGAGCUUAACUAUAUUCUCUCUCCAAUAAAAGAAAACAAUUCUAAAACAGAGAGAUUGGUAGUUUAGUUGGGGCGACUGUCUUUUAAAAAGAACAAAGACAAGCAAAGUAAAUAAAAAAAACUUACUGUAUAAUUUAUAAAUUUAACAAUUAUGAAAAUAGGCUAUAAUGACCCGUUGUCACUAAAUAAGAAGGAUAACGAUCAAUAAAUAAAAGCUACCUUAGGGAUAACAGGAUAAUUUUAUUUUAGAGACCUAAUCGAAAAUAAAGUUUGUCACCUCUAUGUUGAAUUGAGAUAUCCUGAUAAUGUAGAAGUUAUCAAUGGUAGGUCUGUUCGACCUUUAAAA